Molecule: unclassified non-coding RNA, 273 nt
Filed under: uncultured fungus
Lineage: Eukaryota; Fungi
Description: partial contains small subunit ribosomal RNA, internal transcribed spacer 1, and 5.8S ribosomal RNA
Rfam family: Eukaryotic small subunit ribosomal RNA (bases 1-73)
Source: RNAcentral
GCAAACUUGGUCAUUUAGAGGAAGUAAAAGUCGUAACAAGGUUUCCGUAGGUGAACCUGCGGAAGGAUCAUUCAUAAUAAAAGUGUGUUAUGGCGCUUUUAAAAUAUAUCCAUAUCCACCUUGUGUGCAAUGUUUUUUUUUUUUUAUUAUAAACACCUUUUUCUUUUAAUUGCCAAAUUUUUCUGAAGAUCAGUAUUAUUAUGAAUUAACUUAAUUCAAAAUAUAACUUUCAACAACGGAUCUCUUGGCUCUCGCAUCGAUGAAGAACGCAGC